RNAcentral lists this long non-coding RNA (4056 nucleotides) under Mus musculus (house mouse). RNAcentral's name for it is "long non-coding RNA chr11:21241182-21245238". Lineage: Eukaryota; Metazoa; Chordata; Mammalia; Rodentia; Muridae. The record is from RNAcentral.
AAGUCAAUAUACAUACAUACAUAUAUACAUAUAUAUACAUACACACACACACACACACACACACACACAUAUAUAUAUACAUAUAUAUAUAAAAAUUGGGCCAGGGAGUAAGAUCCCAAUCUCAGAAAAAAAAUAUUGUAAACAACUGAUAGACUGUAUGUGGAGGAAGACAAGAAGCAUGAGUCACUUUGGUCUUAAGAGUAUUGGUGAGGUAAGGGUCAGCCAAUGAAAAGUUGGAGAAGAAUUUUUGAUAAUACUGGAAUAUAGAAUUGGAAAGGACCUUACAGGUCAUUGUUGGCAUACUUCCUGCUUGUCUCAACAAAGCAGAAACCAGAGGAAGAAGUCUGAAGGGUAGAAACUUGAAUCUCCAGGACACUUGGCACAAGACCUGCGAUGUGCUUAUGUAAAGUGAACAUUGGGUGUAGGGAUGAGCUGGGUACUGGAAUUGUUUAGAUUCUUGUGUGUAUCUAUUUGACCUCAUGCUGUUAUAACUGGGUAAGAACUGGACAUUCCUCCAGCAUUAGGGACAAGUGCUGACAGAGGUUCUGUGCAGACAGAAUACAUGGUUUAAAAAAGCUUGAAAGCAAAGCAUGACAAAUAUGUUAUUUUGAAAUGUUAUUUUAAAAUCAGUUUACUUUUUUUUUUUUGCAGUUUGGGUUAGGGAGUAAGCAGGUGAUUUUGAGAAUGAAAAAGAACAAAAACAACAUUGUAAAGAAGAUAUAGAUUGUUUUGUUGUGUCAGUAUACAUUUGGAGAAAGAAGAGGAAAAAGCUUGAGUGGCUUGGGUGCUUCAGAGCUAGUUUGGCGAGCUGAGGGUCAGUGAAAUGUUGAAUCACAGCUUACAUUGUUCACAUUUUAAAGAUCCAAUAAAAAACAAGUUAAAAAUUAUGAUUAACAAAUAUAUUUGGAGGCUUUCUUUUCUGAACUUUCAGAGUUCUAAAAUCUAAAACAAUAACUAUCCAAGCAUGGUUUUGUUCUUCAGAGAACUUUUGGAAGUGUCUGGAGAUGAUUUUGAUUGUUAAGAUAACAUCUAAUGAAGGAUGUUAAUAACUGCUAUAUAAUACAUAGACCUCUCCAUCCCCCCAAAAGAAAAGACUGUCUGUAUCAAAGUGCCAGUAGUACUGUUUAGACUCAUGAUCUGUAUGAUUCUGGUAAGGACUUGAUCUAUUCUUAGAGUCCCACUGAAUAUUAUUUGGUGGAAUAGAGAAAUACUUAAUUCAUCUAACAGUUCUCUUUAUUGGGGGAAGCAGUUGAGGGCAAAGCGAAAGUAAAGAAAUUGGUAUAAUGUAGAUAUGUGUUGGUCUGUUUAGUUUACAAAUCUGAACAAAAACACCCUUUUAGAAGCUAGAGAGAUGGCUUAGUGAUUUAAGAGCCUCCCUGGCUGCUGUUGCAGAGGAUCUGAAUUCAGUUCCCAACACACACAACUGUCUGUAAUUCCAGUUCCAGGGGAUUGAUCCCCGCUUCUCACCUUCUUGGACACCAGACAAAUGUGGUACACAGAUUUAUAUGCUGUUAAAACACUCAUAUACAUAAAAUAAAAUAUAUUCAUAAAAGAAAAAUAUCCCUUCCCCUUAAAAUGUCAGCCUUAUAUUAAUGUACAUUUUACUGUAUUUUGAAUUGCUGAUUAUUACUGCAUAGGUUUUUAAAAUUAGAAAUAAACAUAUAGUACUAUCUUUUUUAGCAUUUUUUACCUUCAUACAUCCCCUACCCCUACCUCCUGUUAACUUAUCGAGAAAGAAGCUAAAUGUUUGAAUGGCUUAUGUAUGCAAGUAUGUAUGUAGUAAAAGUCCAGGAUUUUCAUAUUUAUAUACAACUCGCAUUUCUGCUUCUAUUGGUCUCACUUUUGACUCUGAUGUUUUUAAAUUAAUUUUUAAAUACUUUGGUGCUGCUGUGAUCCAUCUCUCCUUCCCAAGUGCUAGGGUUGUAGACCUGUGCCACUGGGUUUGGCUUUUAGGUGAUGUUUUUGGUGAUGAAAAGUGGUAGGAUCACCUUUGUUACUUACUGUCCAUGUGACUUUAGAGAAAUUAUGAAAUGUUCCUGGGGUUCAAUUUUCUCAUCUAACAAAUAGUGAGUGUGUUUGGUGAUUACUGUAUUAUGAACUUAUUGCCAAUGUAAGUGAGUUUAUGGGUUGUAAGAUACUGUGUCUGGUGAGCCAAAUAGUUCAGUGGGGAGAGCAUUAGCCUGAAGAUGCUUUGUUGACUUUAACAUUCUCUGUAAGAGUUGUUUCAGAAGAACAAAUUAGAAAGGAAUAUGUAGAACUUAUCAAAAGCAAUGUAGAGGUAGCAAGGUAAAAUGAAUAAUGACUGACAGCUCUUAGGGAGAAAAAAAACACUAAUUGUCUCUGUCCCUGCCGUCUUUCUCCCUCCCUCAAAAGAACCACUUAAUACAUCAAUAAUUGAAGUUCCUUGCUCCAGAGACCGACUUCAGUAGCACCUGAGGUUGGCUUAUUGUAAGAUUUCUAUCAGGCUUUUUUUCCUGGUCUUUUUUCCCCUGUAUUGUAGUCAUUGAUUUUUCAAAAGGGUAAAUCUGAUCAUUUAAUUUGUGUGCUUAAAUUAUUUCUAGCUUUAUAAUUAAGAUGAAAUAUUAUUUCUCAUUUCUUUAAGAUAAGUGAGUUCCUUUCCUAACAUCUUUUUAGCCUUAGAGACUCCACAAUUCUCCCCCAUUCCUAAAUAUGUAAUUGUCUAAGGCAUGUUGAAUUCUUUGUGGUACCUGACAAUAGAUUCUUUUUCUUCCAAAUCUUUUCACAUACCUCACCUUUUCUAGAUCUCCAUUACUGUUUUCCCCAACUGGUCUGACUCAUUCUUUAGUUCUUGGUAAGCUGUCUACAUAGUUAUUAAUAUGUAUGGAUGCUUUGUCUAUUUGUACUGUGCAUGUGUCUGAUACCCUUAGAGACUAGAAGAAGGUGUUGGAUUCCCUGGGACUAGAGCUAUAGAUGGUUGUGAGUGGUUGCUGAGAAUUGAACAUGGGUCCUCUUGCAAGAAUAGCCAGGGCUCUUGACCAAUGAGCCAUCUUUUCAGCCUCCUGGCAUUGAUGUUUUAUUAUUUAAGAUUUUUAAGCCAUAGGUCAGUUGAAAGAAUAGUAGAGUGAGCACCACACUACCCCCAAUUUUUUUUUUUUUUUUUGACAAACUGGUGUGGAUAUUUCCCCCAUUUUCAAACAUGCGUCUCCCAAUUAUAAGACUAUUCUGCAGGAUUAUAGUUAUGGUAUCUAAGAAUGUCAGUAUUUACGUGGUAGCAUCAUUUGCCAUAGAGUUAACGCUUAAACAUUCUCAGUUGUCUACUGUGUUCUCACUUAAUCUGCCCCACUCUAUCACCAUGAGUUGAAUGGUCAAAAGUAGCUUAAAAAAGGAGUCCUUAGGCUGGACACAGGGCUUCUACUCUGUAGUGACAAUUUUGACAUUUUGGUUUCUUUAGAAAACACAGAAAUAUUACAAGAAUAUGUCUUUAUUUUAAUCCCAGGUAUGGGAUAUGGACCUGCUUCAGAUUGUCCUCAGCAGCUGGCUAUGAUUUGCCUCAUGCCCUAGCAGGGGCGUAAUUUUUCCAGUGGCAGACAGUGUCUACAGUCGUGUGACAUUUGGAAUUCUGUUGACUUAUCAGAGAAUAUAUAAUGCUAGGGCCCCAAGAGGCAGACUGGGUUGUUGGUUGGUUGCUGUUGGUUUCUGUUUAAGUAGUCCUGCAUAAAGAUGAAACAAGAAGAAAUUAGAUGUCUGACAGUGAAACUCAAACUUGCCUCUAAUGAACAGGAAGUUGUUUAAUGAUAAUGUUGCCCCCUUUCCUCUCUAUCCUUUUUUCCUCUCCUGUUUAGAGUUAGAGGUUUGAAAGGAUAGAAGAAGGGGGAUGGAAAAGGGUGGAAGAAAAAGAGCCCACAAAGUAGCUGAAAGUCCAGGUAUAUAUAAUAUACAUAUAAAAAUUAAUGUACCUAAUUGCCAAUUAUACACAACUCCUACCUUUUGGACCUAAAAUAUAGUUGUCUGUUCUUUUUAAGAUUAACCCACUGUCUGACUGUUCACCAAUUCUAGUAUUUCCCAUCUCUUGGCAAAGCCAAUCCUCCCACUCCC